UUGGAGGGCAAGUCUGGUGCCAGCAGCCGCGGUAAUUCCAGCUCCAAUAGCGUAUAUUAAAGUUGUUGCAGUUAAAAAGCUCGUAGUUGAAUUUCGAGACCGGUCUACUGGUCGUGCUUUUGUACGUACUGGUUUUAUUGGUUUCUCCUUUCUGACGAACUAUAAUGCCAUUAAUUUGGUGUUAUGGGGAAUCAGGACUGUUACUUUGAAAAAAUUAGAGUGUUUAAAGCAGGCUCACGCUUGAAUACAUUAGCAUGGAAUAACGGAAUAGGACGUUUGAUUCUAUUUUGUUGGUUUCUAGGAUCGACGUAAUGAUUAAUAGGGAUAGUUGGGGGCAUUAGUAUUCAAUUGUCAGAAGUGAAAUUCUUGGAUUUAUUGAAGACUAACUACUGCGAAAGCAUUUGCCAAGGAUGUUUUCAUUAAUCAAGAACGAAAGUUAGGGGAUCGAAGACGAUCAGAUACCGUCGUAGUCUUAACCAUAAACUAUGCCGACUAGGGAUCGGAUGAUGUUAAUUUUUUAAUGACUCAUUCGGCGCCUUACGGGAAAC
RNAcentral lists this ribosomal RNA (548 nucleotides) under uncultured Glomeromycotina. RNAcentral describes it as "SSU rRNA". It matches the Rfam family "Eukaryotic small subunit ribosomal RNA", at positions 548 to 1098 of the family's 1831-position model. Lineage: Eukaryota; Fungi; Glomeromycota. The record is from RNAcentral.